GCUGACUGUUCUCACACUCGUAGGCCUAUCCACUCGCCUGGGCUACUACUAGCAUACAACAAAAAUGCUUAGUUAUUUGACAUACCAUGUUAGCCUCCGGAGUUGCUUGUCGUACAAGGAACUGUGUCAGAGCUCCCUGACUUCUCCUCUGGGUCUCGUUCUUCUUGUGUGCUUCACCGGAAGCAUGUUGUUUUACGUCUGUCAGACCACCGUGGCUGACCAAAAAUUGACGUUUGCAUACUGUACAGUUCACCUUGAACUCAUCUUCUCGAAUACUAUAAUUCUAUCCAUUUAAAGUCCCUUUCCCACUCUUUUCGGUAUUUUGCUUUUCUUUUUCCUUUUUAUCGUUUUGGCCUGGGGAGCCAUUCUUGUUGGUGUUUUUAGUACACUUUUUACCUGAAGCCGGGCGAGGCCGCUUCAGGCAGCAGCAGAGCCAAUCACUGUGAAGAAUGUGUCCUAGCAACCACACAAAUCUGCUGCCAUUGGUCGGUACUCAUGACAGCCGAUUCCGUUUUUUACGGGACCGUUGACAAGUCUAGCCACACCACAGUGAGUGACGGAAGAGAAGAAUCGCUCUCAUUCUUCCACGACCCGAAAUACGGGACAAAGUGCUUCCCGUAUCAGUUCAUUACGUCUUUUAGUUUCCAAAUAAGGGACAAUUCCGUUUUUUACGGGACGGUUGGCAAGUGUAAUUCACGGCGAUGCGUGUUUCGUACGUAGUCAAGUCCAAAACGUAAGUUUAAUAUGUCUUAAAGCCUGUACUUUGGUUACAUAAAUGUUGGCUUCAUAUUGAAACAUUUUGUGUGUAAGUUUUAUAUGUGUCUUACACCGGUCGCAUUUCUAUGCCAUUUUAUGUCUGUGAAUAGUGUAUGAAGCAAGCUAACGGCUGACCCAUGAAUGUCCGGUGAAUGCAACUUUUCCCUCUCAAUUUACCCUCGUCUUGCACCCUUGGCAAGCGGAGCGAGGGAUAAGAAGAAUAGUGUGGAAAAUUACUUUCGCAAGAAAAAUACAACCACCUGCACCCCCCAGGAGGCUGCCAUACUUACUGAGAGUGUCUUAUCAAUGAUUUGUAAAGACAUGAGGCCGAUUUCUGUGGUUGAGGGCGAGGGAUUUAAAGAAAUGCUGACGUACUACAAAAGCACUAAGAAUAUCUGCUUUGAGGUAACUGCUUGCCUCUGUAUGAUUACAUUUAGAUUUAAGACCGCUCCUGACUUACUUCUGACCAAUCAGGACAUGUCAUCCCUGAAAGGUUUGGGGUAUCUAUCUGGCCUGAGGGGGGGGUCGUUUCCAGUUUUACCGCUAUGUUAAGAUGUACAAGCUUACACUGUUUGAUUGUAUGCAAACCAACUGUAGGACUUUGAUAGAUCUGGCAAAUUAUAACGUUGUCUACUGCUUACAUCAGCAACUUGAUGCUGAUGUAAGCUGUCAAAAGCAAAAUUAAAAGUGUUAUGGAUUGGUGAUGAGUGCCACGCAGCAACAUGUGCAGGGUAAUGUCCAUUUGAGAGGGAGGGUUUUUUUUUGGGUUCGAGUUUCUAAAUUUUUCUCUCCUCCUUGUCAAAAAAAAACAAAAAAACAAGUAUAAUGUUUAAGACUUGACUCGUUGAUGAUACAUUUUCCUUGAAAAACCCAGCUUACCUUAUAUAUUUGGUGACCUUGGCUGUGUCCAUGAUCACUAAUUACACGCUAUAUGUAUGGUAUAUAUUAUACAUAAUCCUCCAUAUAUUGGGAAUUUUAUGUAUAUGCAUUACGCUAUUAAGGCACAUAUUUCGAUGUGAAGUGUGGUGUGGUGCGAUGUGGUGCCACAUGUGGACGAUGUUGCAAAAUGUAUUCACCUGAGAGUUAUGUGUUAGUAUAAUCACACCCCUGUGCUUAUUUGAAUGGCCCAAGUGUGCUCCAUCUGAGGCAGAAAUUGUGAGAAAUGGCACAACCAGC
Long non-coding RNA from Gadus morhua (Atlantic cod), 1932 nucleotides. The record is from Ensembl. Lineage: Eukaryota; Metazoa; Chordata; Actinopteri; Gadiformes; Gadidae.